GAUGAACGCUGGCGGCGUGCCUAAUACAUGCAAGUCGAGCGAACGGACGAGAAGCUUGCGUCUCUGAUGUUAGCGGCGGACGGGUGAGUAACACGUGGAUAACCUACCUAUAAGACUGGGAUAACUUCGGGAAACCGGAGCUAAUACCGAAUAAUAUUUUGAACCGCAAGGUUCAAAAGUGAAAGACGGUCGUGCUGUCACUAAUAGAUGGAUCCGCGCUGCAUUAGCUAGUUGGUAAGGUAAUGGCUUACCAAGGCAACGAUGGAUAGCCGCCCUGAGAGCGUGAUCGGCCACACUGGCACUGAGACACGGCCCCGACUCCGACGCUGGGCAGCAGUAGGGAAUCUUCCGCAAUGGGCGAAAGCCUGACGGAGCAACGCCGCGUGAGUGAUGAAGGUCUUCGGAUCGUAAAGCUCUGUUAUUAGGGAAGAACAUAUGUGUAAGUAACUGUGCACAUCUUGACGGUACCUAGUCAGAAAGCCCCGGCUAACUACGUG
Molecule: ribosomal RNA, 497 nt
Filed under: uncultured bacterium
Lineage: Bacteria
Description: partial 16S ribosomal RNA
Rfam family: Bacterial small subunit ribosomal RNA
Source: RNAcentral